CCUACGGGAGGCAGCAGUGAGGAAUAUUGGUCAAUGGGCGUAAGCCUGAACCAGCCAAGUCGCGUGAGGGAUGAAGGUUCUAUGGAUCGUAAACCUCUUUUAUAAGGGAAUAAAGUGCGGGACGUGUCCCGUUUUGUAUGUACCUUAUGAAUAAGGAUCGGCUAACUCCGUGCCAGCAGCCGCGGUAAUACGGAGGAUCCGAGCGUUAUCCGGAUUUAUUGGUUUUAAAGGGUGCGUAGGCGGCCUUUUAAGUCAGCGGUGAAAGUUUGUGGCUCAACCAUAGUAUUGCCGUUGAAACUGGGAGGCGUGAGUAAGUUGGAGGCAGGCGGAAUGCGUGGUGUAGCGGUGAAAUGCAUAGAUAUCACGCAGAACUCCGAUUGCGAAGGCAGCCUGCCAAGCCAUGACUGACGCGGAUGCACGAAAGCGUGGGGAUCAAACAGGAUUAGAUACCCUAGUAGUC
This 460-nucleotide ribosomal RNA is filed under the name uncultured bacterium. Its description in RNAcentral is "partial 16S ribosomal RNA". It matches the Rfam family "Bacterial small subunit ribosomal RNA", at positions 338 to 795 of the family's 1533-position model. The record is from RNAcentral.